GACGAACGCUGGCGGCGUGCUUAACACAUGCAAGUCGAACGGAAAGGCCCUGCUUUUGUGGGGUGCUCGAGUGGCGAACGGGUGAGUAACACGUGAGUAACCUGCCCUUGACUUUGGGAUAACUUCAGGAAACUGGGGCUAAUACCGGAUAGGAGCUCCUGCUGCAUGGUGGGGGUUGGAAAGUGUCGGUGGUUGGGGAUGGACUCGCGGCUUAUCAGCUUGUUGGUGGGGUAGUGGCUUAACAAGGCUUUGACGGGUAGCCGGCCUGAGAGGGUGACCGGCCCCAUUGGGACUGAGAUACGGCCCAGACUCCUCCGGGAGGCAGCAGUGGGGAAUAUUGCACAAUGGGCGGAAGCCUGAUGCAGCAACGCCGCGUGCGGGAUGACGGCCUUCGGGUUGUAAACCGCUUUCGCCUGUGACGAAGCGUGAGUGACGGUAAUGGGUAAAGAAGCACCGGCUAACUACGUG
Molecule: ribosomal RNA, 468 nt
Filed under: uncultured bacterium
Lineage: Bacteria
Description: partial 16S ribosomal RNA
Rfam family: Bacterial small subunit ribosomal RNA
Source: RNAcentral